This 492-nucleotide ribosomal RNA is filed under the name uncultured bacterium. Its description in RNAcentral is "partial 16S ribosomal RNA". It matches the Rfam family "Bacterial small subunit ribosomal RNA", at positions 29 to 507 of the family's 1533-position model. The record is from RNAcentral.
AGUGAACGCUGGCGGUAGGCCUAACACAUGCCAGUCGAACGGCAGCACAGUAAGAGCUUGCUCUUACGGGUGGCGAGUGGCGGACGGGUGAGGAAUACAUCGGAAUCUACUUUUUCGUGGGGGAUAACGUAGGGAAACUUACGCUAAUACCGCAUACGACCUACGGGUGAAAGCAGGGGAUCUUCGGACCUUGCGCGAUUGAAUGAGCCGAUGUCGGAUUAGCUAGUUGGCGGGGUAAAGGCCCACCAAGGCGACGAUCCGUAGCUGGUCUGAGAGGAUGAUCAGCCACACUAGAACUGAGACACGGUCCAGACUCCUACGGGAGGCAGCAGUGGGGAAUAUUGGACAAUGGGCGCAAGCCUGAUCCAGCCAUACCGCGUGGGUGAAGAAGGCCUUCGGGUUGUAAAGCCCCUUUGUUGGGAAAGAAAAGCAGCAGGUUAAUACCCCGCUGUUCUGACGGUACCCAAAGAAUAAGCACCGGCUAACUUCGUG